AUUGAACGCUGGCGGCAGGCCUAACACAUGCAAGUCGAGCGGCAGCGGGAAAGUAGCUUGCUACUUUUGCCGGCGAGCGGCGGACGGGUGAGUAAUGCCUGGGAAAUUGCCCAGUCGAGGGGGAUAACAGUUGGAAACGACUGCUAAUACCGCAUACGCCCUACGGGGGAAAGCAGGGGACCUUCGGGCCUUGCGCGAUUGGAUAUGCCCAGGUGGGAUUAGCUAGUUGGUGAGGUAAUGGCUCACCAAGGCGACGAUCCCUAGCUGGUCUGAGAGGAUGAUCAGCCACACUGGAACUGAGACACGGUCCAGACUCCUACGGGAGGCAGCAGUGGGGAAUAUUGCACAAUGGGGGAAACCCUGAUGCAGCCAUGCCGCGUGUGUGAAGAAGGCCUUCGGGUUGUAAAGCACUUUCAGCGAGGAGGAAAGGUUGGCGCCUAAUACGCGUCAACUGUGACGUUACUCGCAGAAGAAGCACCGGCUAACUCCGUGCCAGCAGCCGCCGCAG
This 508-nucleotide ribosomal RNA is filed under the name uncultured bacterium. Its description in RNAcentral is "partial 16S ribosomal RNA". It matches the Rfam family "Bacterial small subunit ribosomal RNA", at positions 29 to 523 of the family's 1533-position model. The record is from RNAcentral.